This 2660-nucleotide long non-coding RNA is filed under the name Homo sapiens (human). Its description in RNAcentral is "HSALNT0265795". Lineage: Eukaryota; Metazoa; Chordata; Mammalia; Primates; Hominidae. The record is from RNAcentral.
GUGGAACAGAGGCUCUUCCCAGGGCUCUUUCUGCCUCUGGAUGUUGGUGUUGAUGAUGUGAUGUCUGGAGCUGUUGCAACCACCUUGCUACCAGCUUGAGGCUGAAGCUUCAAGAACAGGAAGGUAAGGCUGAGAGAAUCCCAAGGAAGCAGAGCAUAUGCUGGGAGUUCUGUUCCUGAAGCCUGCCUCACCCAGGGGCUUCUUAUCAUGAGAGUAGAACAUUCCCUUUGCAUUCAAGACAUUUUUAAUUAGGGACUUAGUUUACAUGUGGCUGAAAGCUUCUCAGCAGGUCCCAAGGCCUCUGCAGUUUCUUCUGCAUGGUUUCUCCUUCCCUCACCUCUUCUUCAAGUCUCCUUCUACUUUUGUGGCUGGUGGAUUUGUCUCCUCCCUCACGUCCUCCUUUGCCCAUGCACUAUGCAAGAAUACUGGAGUCUGCCCAUGUGUGUGUGAGUGGCACAGACAGGAGGGGCGGGCCUGACGUCCCUCCCCGAUUAUUCUGUUGGCUCCCAGCUGCAGGCAACACAGAUGUAAAACUGUGACCAACAGGUGAGAUGACUUGAAGAGAUACUUUUUCCAGGACAAACUCCUGCACAUUCAAUGAGCUAAUCAAUAUAGCACAUCAUGAUACAUUUGCACAAUUUUGAAGCUCACUACACAACAGUGACAGUUUAAAAAUGCUGUGUUAGUGAGCAUUGUUAAUACAAAGAGUCUUUAAGAUCAUCAAUCUUAUGUCUAGAAAAUUUAGAAAGCACUAAAAUCUUAGAGUUCACAAAUGAGAGGAAACUGCAAGAGGCUUUUACGAAUUUGUCAACAAUCAGGAAAGGUUGCAGGAUAUUACCAAUAUGAGUUUUGAAGCAGAAAAAGGAUGUUAUGUACCAUUAAGUUCACAGAUCAUCAAACAGUUAGUGGAAAGACUGGUUUAUCUUUCUGCUAUAUUUAUAAAAGUUCUGGUACAAAUUCAAUGUCUUAUGAUGAGGCAAAUAGUGAUUCAUUAGCUGAAUAUGGAAACAUAGGCAGAAAAUAUUACAGAGUUGUGUCAACUAGUUAAUUAAACAAAAACAUUAUAUGAGACAGUAAAGAUCAUGUGGAUUAAGGGAGGGCAAAUCUGCCCUUUCAUCUGCAGGGUGGAUAGAUGGACUGAUGUGGUCAAAGCCAGUGGCAUCAUGAACGGGAAACAAUGUUUCUCUCAAGCUGCAGCUUUGAAAUGUCAAGCAGCUUCUUCCUUGGCUGACAACUGCUUUCUGACUCAAUGGAAGACCUUGUUCUCUAGCGUCAGGGCUGUCAGAAACUUUGCUUAUGAGUAAGAAGAACAUCCCACUGCCUGGAGGAUCUAGGUCCACCUUUACACAGAAGCACAGAGCUACAGAGAAGGGGUUUCUGGACAGAACGUUCCACAUUUGCCUGAACCUUAUGGGUUCUGAGGAGAUAGGAGGAGCUGAGGAGAUAGGAGGAGCUGAGUACAAUUUGCAGCCCAGACCUGACCCUGGCUCCUUUACACAGAAGCCUGCCAUGCUCUGAGUGCAUCAAUACACCUUCAAAAUCCCUUCCUCCAAUCCUGUGAUAACCUUUUUUCCUUUGUUUGUUGAAUCAUGUGAGGAUCCUUGUGUGACUUUAUUCCCUUAUUGCAACAACCCAAUACUGAGUGUGUUGGCUACAGUACUGACUUGGUGGCUGAUUAUUUUCUGGAUUUUGUGGGUGUCUGUUAUUUUCUGGAGUUUGUGGCUGUUUGCAGUAUAUCUCAGUGUUUUAAAAACCCCCAUAUUGUAUGAGCCUCAGGCCCUGCAGCACCUGGUCUGCCUGUGAUCAUGAAGAGAGUCCACCUGCCCAAGGAAAGACUGUGCCGUCUCAUGCUUCCCAGGCCUCCGAUGCACUCAUCCCUCCUUCCAGAGUGAUUUCUCUAUGCUGGGUGAGGGGUUUCCAACCUCUGCAGUUUCCAUCUUUUACCUCUGAUCUGGUGCAUGAUUUUUUCUAAAGGAACUCUUAGAAGACACUUAACAUGACCUGAUCAGGAACCUUCUUUAGCUUCUUCCAAGGACACAGCUCAGUGCCCAGAAGAUGGACCUGUUCACUCUCAGCUUCCCCGCAUCCUGCUCUGUUCCAAGGGAGCAGACACACAGGGAAAAGUCGGGGGAGUCCUGUGCAGAACCCCGACGUCACACCAUCUUCCCCAAGGAAGAUAGAAUUGUGUCAGAAAGGGACUGUUUUUCAAAAAAUCAGCUGUUCAUUGUGUGCCUGGAUGGUGGUCCCUUUGGUCAAUAAACCCUUCAUCCACAUGGAAAAUUAUGAGCACUUCCGUGCAAGAAAGACUUUGCCCCCAACCACAACAUCUGUGCACCUGCUGCUCUGCCCUCAGCCGCUCUCUCCCAGUAGAAGCCUGAAUCACUAAGUGCACCCUCCACUGAGAGGAUGAGGCCCAGAUUUGACUCCCCCGCUCAUGGCUGCCUGGGCGCUGCUACACUUCCCACAUCACAGACUCAGUUAAAUCCCAUGGGGGUGGAGAGGAAAUGGAAGCAGAUGCUGCUCACUCUCCCUGCCAGACCAUUCUCCUCCUGGCUUCCUAGGUGCAGCACGGUGGGUGCUGGCCUCAGGGCUGUUUCAGCAGCUUCCUCUUUGUCAUUUCCCUCUCAGUGUUCAUGGCAGCCACCCUUGGUCAAUGCAGC